UGGGGAAUUUUGGACAAUGGGCGCAAGCCUGAUCCAGCAAUGCCACGUGCAGGAUGAAGGCCUUCGGGUUGUAAACUGCUUUUGUACGGAACGAAAAAGCUUCUCCUAAUACGAGAGGCCCAUGACGGUACCGUAAGAAUAAGCACCGGCUAACUACGUGCCAGCAGCCGCGGUAAUACGUAGGGUGCGAGCGUUAAUCGGAAUUACUGGGCGUAAAGCGUGCGCAGGCGGUUAUGUAAGACAGAUGUGAAAUCCCCGGGCUCAACCUGGGAACUGCAUUGGUGACUGCAUGGCUAGAGUACGGUAGAGGGGGAUGGAAUUCCGCGUGUAGCAGUGAAAUGCGUAGAUAUGCGGAGGAACACCGAUGGCGAAGGCAAUCCCCUGGACCUGUACUGACGCUCACGCACGAAAGCGUGGGGAGCAAACA
RNAcentral lists this ribosomal RNA (427 nucleotides) under uncultured bacterium. RNAcentral's name for it is "bacterial SSU rRNA". It matches the Rfam family "Bacterial small subunit ribosomal RNA", at positions 355 to 774 of the family's 1533-position model. The record is from RNAcentral.